This 399-nucleotide ribosomal RNA is filed under the name Triticum aestivum (bread wheat). Its description in RNAcentral is "partial small subunit ribosomal RNA". Lineage: Eukaryota; Viridiplantae; Streptophyta; Magnoliopsida; Poales; Poaceae. The record is from RNAcentral.
AUGUCGACGAAUGUAGUUGCAUGCGGGAUCGACUACAUCAACAAUCACACCGAUGUGUGUGCCGACAAGAUAAUCAUGCAUUACAGUGUGACUUGUAAAAUAUGGGAUGGUGACUUCCACCACAACAUCCCGAGGAAGAAUUUUGCUCAACACGGUGAAUUCAAGCUCACACUGAAGAAAUAUGUCAUGUUCCCCAUGUUCCAGGAGCUUGCACCACAUGACCCACACGACAAGUGUUCUCACCACUAUGUGAUAUGUCUUGACCUGAAGAACCAACAUUUUGAGGUGCUUGAUUCAAUCCGUUCGGAAGCUGAUGCAGACCUUACUACGCAUGCUGAAUUCUUCAUCAACAACCUCAAAGAGACAUGGAACCGUCACUACGAACACUCAAAGGUCUAG